Ananas comosus (pineapple) is the source of this 455-nucleotide long non-coding RNA. RefSeq lists it as uncharacterized. The record is from RefSeq and is a predicted model, not a curated record. NCBI's taxonomy places the organism in Eukaryota, Viridiplantae, Streptophyta, Magnoliopsida, Poales, Bromeliaceae. The transcript has 2 exons.
AAUAGUACUCUUGUGAGUGACUCGGUAGUAUAAAUGCUAGCUAAAGAGGCCACCGCCAUGUAGGCAUGUACUCAAAGCUACCAAAUUAGGGUUACAAAUCAAAGAGAUCCCUAAAUUAUGGUAGGAAAAAGACACCCGGUUAAGCUCAAUUCCUCUGCAUGCGUCAUGUUGAUCAUGCUGCUUGUGGAACGGCGAGUCUCAGGGGAAGUGCGCGAGGAUGUGUGACGUACAAAAAGGCGGAAAGCCGCAUCUGGCGGACUGUAAGAGAUGCAUGAUGAAAUGUAGAUGCAGUUGUGUUCAUUGAGAAUUGCGGUAGUUCGUGCAAUAUGAUGUUCAUAGUUCACUACCACAUGUGAUGUUGCGUUCAUAUCUUAAAUAGAAAAGAUGAAGGCUCUGUUUAGUCUCACGCUAACGCUUUAAUUUUAAUACUCAAAUUAUAUGUGAUUUAAUGUAAU